AGUGAACGCUGGCGGUAGGCCUAACACAUGCAAGUCGAACGGCAGCACAGUAAGAGCUUGCUCUUACGGGUGGCGAGUGGCGGACGGGUGAGGAAUACAUCGGAAUCUACUUUUUCGUGGGGGAUAACGUAGGGAAACUUACGCUAAUACCGCAUACGACCUACGGGUGAAAGCAGGGGAUCUUCGGACCUUGCUCUAUUGAAUGAGCCGAUGUCGGAUUAGCUAGUUGGCGGGGUAAAGGCCCACCAAGGCGACGAUCCGUAGCUGGUCUGAGAGGAUGAUCAGCCACACUGGAACUGAGACACGGUCCAGACUCCUACGGGAGGCAGCAGUGGGGAAUAUUGGACAAUGGGCGCAAGCCUGAUCCAGCCAUACCGCGUGGGUGAAGAAGGCCUUCGGGUUGUAAAGCCCUUUUGUUGGGAAAGAAAAGCAGCAGGUUAAUACCCCGCUGUUCUGACGGUACCCAAAGAAUAAGCACCGGCUAACUUCGUG
This 492-nucleotide ribosomal RNA is filed under the name uncultured bacterium. RNAcentral's name for it is "partial 16S ribosomal RNA". It matches the Rfam family "Bacterial small subunit ribosomal RNA", at positions 29 to 507 of the family's 1533-position model. The record is from RNAcentral.